AGGGAGCUCAAAUCCCUAAACGCGGAUAUUGUAUGUCUCCAGGAGACACACUUUAGACACAUGGAUCACCCCAACAUCCAAACACUGCAAUUUCCACAACAAUACCACGCCACAUCACCUACUAAAUCUAGGGGCGCCUCUAUCCUCUUAAGCAAACACGUAAAGUUUGAACCACAACACCAUGAAACGGACAAUAAUGGCAGAUAUGUCCUCCUACAGGGCAAAAUAAACGAUAUGGCCUACACAAUAAUCAAUGUCUACACACCUAACACAAAU
Non-coding RNA from Pelobates cultripes (western spadefoot toad), 276 nucleotides. The record is from the annotation of a GenBank genome assembly. NCBI's taxonomy places the organism in Eukaryota, Metazoa, Chordata, Amphibia, Anura, Pelobatidae.